CCGGGGACGACCCCGGAUUUACGUGCCUUACUGCGGGGACGACCCCA
Molecule: non-coding RNA, 47 nt
Filed under: Pseudomonas fulva
Lineage: Bacteria; Pseudomonadati; Pseudomonadota; Gammaproteobacteria; Pseudomonadales; Pseudomonadaceae
Also listed under: 1 other name
Description: Guanidine-II sequence
Rfam family: Guanidine-II riboswitch aptamer (mini-ykkC)
About the family: Simpler in structure and has fewer highly conserved nucleotide positions than the ykkC-yxkD leader. Despite this each of its two stem-loop structures directly bind free guanidine.
Source: RNAcentral